Molecule: long non-coding RNA, 1097 nt
Filed under: Macaca mulatta (Rhesus monkey)
Lineage: Eukaryota; Metazoa; Chordata; Mammalia; Primates; Cercopithecidae
Description: lncRNA (ENSMMUG00000060373.1)
Source: RNAcentral
UGUAUUUUGGAAUAGUUUCAGAUUUAUGUAAAAGUUGCAAAGAAACUGAGAAUUCCUCACAAAAAUCAUUUUUGGAAUGUAUACCCAGUACUAACCAUGUGUAAAAUAGUAAACUAAGCUGAGUGUAAGGGUCCGGGAAAAUAAGGAGAACCAUAGAGUAAUGACUCAUCUAAUCCUUCCUACCUGCUGAUCGUGGGGGAAAAGACGAGUUUAUGUUCAUGUAUUUGUUUGCUAAUAAGAGCCUGCUAGUUACUCAGCACUGUGAUAGGAACUGAGGAUAUAGUGGACAAAUUCCUACAUCUGCCGAAGAAUGUUCCUGUAACUAUGCCAGGCACUAGGAAUGCAACAGUGAAGGUUACUGUCCAUGUAGGUCAUCGUUAUAAAAGCAGAAGGAGAGAAAGAUGCAUGUCAAGCACUAUGUGAGCUUCAAGAAAGAGGGAUCAGGUUCACUUGGGAAGAGGCUUCAUGGAUAAGACAACUUUUGAAAGACUGAAAGAGAUUGAGGAGGAGAGCAUAUCAACAGCAGAACUGAAAGCCAUUCUCAGGAAAACUCCUCACCAGCAAUCAACCAGAAUCCCCAUGUAAGGCCAAUUACUUUUGGGUCGUAGAGCCCAAGAUGGGUUCCAGGCUUACUUGAGGAAGCAUCAGAAAGCCUGGGGAAACUUCAUAAUCUCCACAAACCAGCAUUUUAAUUCUAAUAGUCCUGGAAUCCUGAGUCACUCUGAAGGGUUGGGGGUUGGCUUCAACAUUUCUCCCAAGAGGCCAUAGCAUGUUUUUGCAGAUAGACUCUAGAAGAGCAUCUCAGAUGUUCCAGAGUUUUUCAAGGGAGUUGCAAGAAUUCCCCUGUGGUACAAUAAUUUAAUAGAACCCACCAGGGCUUAGUCAGGCCAAACUACCGUAGUUUCAUGAAUUCAUCAUACAGUUUCAUGCCACUCCACUUUUGAACAUGUUUUCCCUCUGCUUAGAGAAAUUAUUCCUCCCCCUGCUUUCCUGCGCUUCCCUAUUCAUCCUUUAAAACCUCAUCUCAAGAGUCCAUCUGUGAAGACAUUCCUAAUUUUUACCCUCUCUCUAUUCGAUCAACAGACUUGGCUUCAAAU